GAUGAACGCUGGCGGCGUGCCUAAUACAUGCAAGUCGAGCGAACAGACGAGGAGCUUGCUCCUCUGACGUUAGCGGCGGACGGGUGAGUAACACGUGGAUAACCUACCUAUAAGACUGGGAUAACUUCGGGAAACCGGAGCUAAUACCGGAUAAUAUAUUGAACCGCAUGGUUCAAUAGUGAAAGACGGUUUUGCUGUCACUUAUAGAUGGAUCCGCGCCGCAUUAGCUAGUUGGUAAGGUAACGGCUUACCAAGGCAACGAUGCGUAGCCGACCUGAGAGGGUGAUCGGCGACACUGGAACUGAGACACGGUCCAGACGCCUAAGGGAGGCAGCAGUAGGGAAUCUUCCGCAAUGGGCGAAAGCUUGACGGAGCAACGCCGCGUGAGUGAUGAAGGUCUUCGGAUCGUAAAACUCUGUUAUUAGGGAAGAACAAAUGUGUAAGUAACUAUGCACGUCUUGACGGUACCUAAUCAGAAAGCCACGGCUAACUACGUG
This 497-nucleotide ribosomal RNA is filed under the name uncultured bacterium. Its description in RNAcentral is "partial 16S ribosomal RNA". It matches the Rfam family "Bacterial small subunit ribosomal RNA", at positions 28 to 507 of the family's 1533-position model. The record is from RNAcentral.